Molecule: small RNA, 127 nt
Filed under: Marmota monax (woodchuck)
Lineage: Eukaryota; Metazoa; Chordata; Mammalia; Rodentia; Sciuridae
Source: RNAcentral
GCCGGGCACAGUGGGGCAUGCCUGUAAUCCUCACAGCUUGGGAGGCUGAGGCAGGAGAAUUGCAAGUUCAAAGCCAGCCUCAGCAACUUAGCAAGACCCUAAGCAACUCAGUGAGACCCUGCCUCUA